RNAcentral lists this ribosomal RNA (846 nucleotides) under Thelonectria rubi. RNAcentral's name for it is "eukaryotic LSU rRNA". It matches the Rfam family "Eukaryotic large subunit ribosomal RNA", at positions 64 to 938 of the family's 3401-position model. Lineage: Eukaryota; Fungi; Ascomycota; Sordariomycetes; Hypocreales; Nectriaceae. The record is from RNAcentral.
ACCAACAGGGAUUGCCCUAGUAACGGCGAGUGAAGCGGCAACAGCUCAAAUUUGAAAUCUGGCCCUCGGGUCCGAGUUGUAAUUUGUAGAGGAUGCUUUUGGUGCGGUGCCUUCCGAGUUCCCUGGAACGGGACGCCAUAGAGGGUGAGAGCCCCGUCUGGUCGGACACCAAGCCUCUGUAAAGCUCCUUCGACGAGUCGAGUAGUUUGGGAAUGCUGCUCUAAAUGGGAGGUAUAUGUCUUCUAAAGCUAAAUACCGGCCAGAGACCGAUAGCGCACAAGUAGAGUGAUCGAAAGAUGAAAAGCACUUUGAAAAGAGAGUUAAACAGUACGUGAAAUUGUUGAAAGGGAAGCGCUUAUGACCAGACUUGGGCCUGUCGGAUCAACCUGGGUUCUCCCCGGGUGCACUCCUUCAGAUUCAGGCCAGCAUCAGUUCGGCGCGGGGGACAAAGGCUUUGGGAAUGUGGCUCCCCUCGGGGAGUGUUAUAGCCCGCUGCGUAAUACCCUGCGCUGGACUGAGGACCGCGCUUCGGCAAGGAUGCUGGCGUAAUGGUCAUCAGCGACCCGUCUUGAAACACGGACCAAGGAGUCGUCUUCGUAUGCGAGUGUUCGGGUGUUAAACCCCUACGCGUAAUGAAAGUGAACGCAGGUGAGAGCUUCGGCGCAUCAUCGACCGAUCCUGAUGUUCUCGGAUGGAUUUGAGUAAGAGCAUACGGGGCCGGACCCGAAAGAAGGUGAACUAUGCCUGUGUAGGGUGAAGCCAGAGGAAACUCUGGUGGAGGCUCGCAGCGGUUCUGACGUGCAAAUCGAUCGUCAAACAUGGGCAUGGGGGCGAAAGACUAAUCGA